This 440-nucleotide ribosomal RNA is filed under the name uncultured bacterium. RNAcentral's name for it is "partial 16S ribosomal RNA". It matches the Rfam family "Bacterial small subunit ribosomal RNA", at positions 338 to 795 of the family's 1533-position model. The record is from RNAcentral.
CCUACGGGAGGCAGCAGUGAGGGAUAUUGGUCAAUGGGGGAAACUCUGAACCAGCAACGCCGCGUGAAGGAAGACGGUUUUCUGAUUGUAAACCUCUGUCCUCUGUGAAGAUAAUGACGGUAGCCGAGGAUGACUCUCCGUCUAACUCCGUGCCAGCAGCCCCGGUACUACGUAGGGAGCAAGCGUUGUCCGGAUUUACUGGGUGUAAAGGGUGCGUAGGGGGCUUUGCAAGUCAGAAGUGAAAUCCAUGGGCUUAACCCAUGAACUGCUGUUGAAACUGCAGAGCUUGAGUGGAGUAGAGGUAGGCGGAAUGCCCGGUGUAGCGGUGAAAUGCGUAGAGAUCGGGCGGAACACCAGUUGCGAAGGCAGCCUGCCGGGCUCUAACUGACGCUGAGGCACGAAAGCGUGGGUAGCAAACAGGAUUAGAUACCCCUGUAGUC